This 258-nucleotide ribosomal RNA is filed under the name uncultured bacterium. Its description in RNAcentral is "partial 16S ribosomal RNA". It matches the Rfam family "Bacterial small subunit ribosomal RNA", at positions 524 to 776 of the family's 1533-position model. The record is from RNAcentral.
UACGUAGGGUGCAAGCGUUUGUCCGGAAUUAUUGGGCGUAAAGAGCUCGUAGGCGGUUUGUUGCGUCGGCGUGUGAAAUCCCGAGGCUCAACCUCGGGUCUGCAGUCGAUACGAGCAACUAGAGUGAUUGCAGGGGAGACUGGAAUUCCUGGUGUAGCGGUGAAAUGCGCAGAGUAUCAGGAGGAACACCGGUGGCGAAGGCGGGUCUCUGGGCAGUAACUGACCGCUGGAGGAGCGAAAGCGUGGGGAGCGAACAGG